CUACGGGACGCUCCAGUGAGGAAUAUUGGACAAUGGAGGAAACUCUGAUCCAGCCAUGCCGCGUGAGUGAAGAAGGCCUUAGGGUUGUAAAGCUCUUUCAAUAGUGAAGAUAAUGACGGUAGCUAUAGAAGAAGCUCCGGCUAAAUUCGUGCCAGCAGCCGCGGUAAUACGAAUGGAGCAAGCGUUGUUCGGAAUCACUGGGCUUAAAGCGUGCGCGGCGGACUUGAAAGUCAGAAGUGAAAUCCCAGAGCUCAACUCUGGAACUGCUUUUGAAACUUCAUGUCUAGAAUCCGAUAGAGGUAAGGGGAAUUCCUAGUGUAGAGGUGAAAUUCGCAGAUAUUAGGAGGAACACCAGUGGCGUAGGCGCCUUACUGGGUCGGUAUUGACGCUCAUGUACGAAAGCGUGGGGAGCAAACAGGAUUAGAUACCCCGGUAGUC
This 438-nucleotide ribosomal RNA is filed under the name uncultured bacterium. Its description in RNAcentral is "partial 16S ribosomal RNA". It matches the Rfam family "Bacterial small subunit ribosomal RNA", at positions 339 to 795 of the family's 1533-position model. The record is from RNAcentral.